GGGGGUGAAAGGAUUCGACUUGUUGACGAGUGAUUGAAGGUCGCGCCGAUGUGUGUUGCCAUCGUAAAAACAGCACAUCCAAAUAGUUGCCAAUGACGACAACUACGAUUACGCACUAGCUGCAUGAUCCCCGCGCCCGUUGAUCGCCGUAGACGGAUGCGCGGGACGACACGGCGAUGCAACAAACUGUUGGGCAGAUGUUUCUCAUACCGACCGGUUCAUUUCAUGGCAAGGAUUUGUUCGGUAGGUCACUGAGAGAUAGACGCUGCGGGUGGGCUAUCUUGCCAAGUCGCCCAUCUUUCAGGUCAAACGCGCGUAGAAGCCGACUUUUGCAAGCCUCAAGGACGCGGGUUCGAUUCCCGCCACCUCCACCA
This 374-nucleotide transfer-messenger RNA is filed under the name Gammaproteobacteria (g-proteobacteria). RNAcentral's name for it is "AqS3 sp001750645 Standard tmRNA". It matches the Rfam family "transfer-messenger RNA". Rfam says of the family: Bacterial tmRNA, also known as 10Sa RNA or SsrA, is named for its dual tRNA and mRNA-like properties. Its role is to liberate the mRNA from a stalled ribosome. The record is from RNAcentral. Lineage: Bacteria; Pseudomonadati; Pseudomonadota. RNAcentral also lists the same sequence under 1 other name.